AAAAAAAGAAAGAAAGGACCUCGGUCCUUGUCCACAGCUUCCACUGUUCCUGUCCCAGGCCGAUCAUGAAGAGGGUCACGGCAACACCCAUGUCCUGUUCCAAGCCUCGCUGUGUAAGUAGGAAACCACACUCACAACACAGAUAGGCCAUUAAUUUCAAAGAUGUGAAACCUUCCCCUGGAAAAAUCAUUUCUGCAGACUUCAGAUUUUAUAAUUUGUCGGUUUUUCUUUCUCAGGUCCGAUUGGAGCAGUACAGCCUCGUCCAGAACCAGGAUAAGUCCACUCCUAGGCUGUUACUGAGGAAGGUCCCACCGAUGGACGGC
This 323-nucleotide long non-coding RNA is filed under the name Xyrichtys novacula (pearly razorfish). Lineage: Eukaryota; Metazoa; Chordata; Actinopteri; Labriformes; Labridae. The record is from RNAcentral.